Cygnus olor (mute swan) is the source of this 662-nucleotide long non-coding RNA. RefSeq lists it as uncharacterized. Lineage: Eukaryota; Metazoa; Chordata; Aves; Anseriformes; Anatidae. The transcript is spliced from 2 exons. The record is from RefSeq and is a predicted model, not a curated record.
AAGAUAGAAACUCUGCAACAGCUGUUUUCUCAGCAUCCUAGUAUCCUGUGGUGGCGUACAUGCUGUGAGCAACUGCAGUAGACAAGAAAUGGUGGGGCACUGAUGAACCCUAAAACCUUUGGGCACUGGUCCAGCUGCCAUCUCAUCUCUGGGCCACACCAAGCUACUGUCAAGAUCUAUAUGAGGACAACUGCACCUAUAGAUAGAUCAUGAGGAAUUUGCCUAAAAUGAACACUAUCCUGGUCUGUAUGAAGCUGUCAAGCUACCACUAUCUUGGAGACCUUUUAACAUGUUGCAAAAUGAUCUUGCAAAAAUUUCUUUUGCAAAAAUUUCAGUUUGUGUUAACUCUAGAUUAACAGGCACAAUAAGAAUUUUAUGUAUUGCUUCUUUCAGAAUCAAAUAUGAUAACAAUGAAGGACUGCAUUAUUAAAAGAUAAUUUGAUUGCCUUAUUAAAAGAUAAUUUGAAAAUUGUUUUUCAGCAAUGAUGUAUGAAUACAAGAUAUAAGCACGAAGGUUUUAAAUAUUGCUAAUUAAUACAUGCUAACUACCAAAAAUAGCAUAGUGAUCACUAAAUUAAAAGAUUUCAAUCUAAAUGUGCUUUGUACAUUUAGUACACUCAGUGUAUAUUGAGAAAUAGUUGUCUGCAGCUUCAGCAGCUAUA